UACGUAGGGGGCAAGCGUUGUCCGGAAUCAUUGGGCGUAAAGAGCGUGUAGGCGGUCCGGUAAGUCGGCUGUGAAAGUCCAGGGCUCAACCCUGGGAUGCCGGUCGAUACUGCCGGACUAGAGUUCGGAAGAGGCGAGUGGAAUUCCCGGUGUAGCGGUGAAAUGCGCAGAUAUCAGGAGGAACACCUAUGGCGAAGGCAGCUCGCUGGGACGUUACUGACGCUGAGACGCGAAAGCGUGGGGAGCAAACAGG
Molecule: ribosomal RNA, 253 nt
Filed under: uncultured bacterium
Lineage: Bacteria
Description: partial 16S ribosomal RNA
Rfam family: Bacterial small subunit ribosomal RNA
Source: RNAcentral